This 256-nucleotide ribosomal RNA is filed under the name uncultured bacterium. RNAcentral describes it as "partial small subunit ribosomal RNA". It matches the Rfam family "Bacterial small subunit ribosomal RNA", at positions 26 to 285 of the family's 1533-position model. The record is from RNAcentral.
AGGACGAACGCUGGCGGCGUGCUUAACACAUGCAAGUCGAACGGUAAGGCCCCUUCGGGGUACACGAGUGGCGAACGGGUGAGUAACACGUGAGCAACCUGCCCUUGACUCUGGAAUAACAGCUGGAAACAGCUGCUAAUACCGGAUAUGACCUCAGACGACAUCGCUUGAGGUGGAAAGCUCCGGCGGUCAAGGAUGGGCUCGCGGCCUAUCAGCUAGUUGGUGAGGUAACGGCUCACCAAGGCUUCGACGGGUA